This 847-nucleotide ribosomal RNA is filed under the name Lepiota sp. BAB-4997. RNAcentral's name for it is "eukaryotic LSU rRNA". The stretch from base 336 to 489 matches the Rfam family "5.8S ribosomal RNA". Lineage: Eukaryota; Fungi; Basidiomycota; Agaricomycetes; Agaricales; Agaricaceae. The record is from RNAcentral.
UUUCCGUAGGUGAACCUGCGGAAGGAUCAUUAUUGAAUAACCUUGGUCGGGUUGUUGCUGGCCUCUCGGGGCAUGUGCACGCCUGUCUUGACUCGUUUUCAUCCACCUGUGCACCUAUUGUAGUUCUGUACUCACUGGGGGUCAUGAAAGCAAGCUAUCUGUUCGGGUUGUCACACUCUCGGAUUUCGAGGGUUGCCGUUCUGGCUUUCUUCUGUUAGCUUUGCGAAAUUGUGCUUUCUCGAGAACAGGUCUAUGUCUUUUAUCAUACACUCAUGUAAAGUAUGUAUGCUAGAAUGUCUUGUUAUUGGCCUUUGUGCCUUUAAUCAACCUUAUACAACUUUCAGCAACGGAUCUCUUGGCUCUCGCAUCGAUGAAGAACGCAGCGAAAUGCGAUAAGUAAUGUGAAUUGCAGAAUUCAGUGAAUCAUCGAAUCUUUGAACGCACCUUGCGCUCCUUGGUAUUCCGAGGAGCAUGCCUGUUUGAGUGUCAUUAAAUCUCUCAACCUACCUCUGGCUUUUGUUAGCUGGGCUGGAGCUUGGAUUGUGGGGGUUUUCUUUGCAGGGCUUCAUGUCAAAGGUCGGCUCCUCUUAAAUGCAUUAGGGGAACCGUUCUGUUGAUCCUGUUUCACUGGUGUGAUAAUUAUCUACGUCAGUGUGCAGUCUGCUCUCUGUCUUGUUUCUGCUUCCAACUGUCCGAUAUGACCCUCUUUUACUUGGGGGGGAACUCUUUGACCAUUUGACCUCAAAUCAGGUAGGGACUACCCGCUUGAAAACUUAAGCAUAUCAAUAAGCGGAGGAAAAGAAACUAACAAGGAUUCCCCUAGUAACUGCGAGAGAAGGCGGGGAAA